GACGAACGCUGGCGGCGUGCUUAACACAUGCAAGUCGAGCGGUAAGGCCCUUUCGGGGGUACACGAGCGGCGAACGGGUGAGUAACACGUGGGUGACCUGCCCUCAGCUCUGGGAUAAGCCUGGGAAACCGGGUCUAAUACCGGAUAUGACUCCAUGACGCAUGUUGUGGGGUGGAAAGCCUUGUGCGGCUGAGGAUGGGCCCGCGGCCCAUCAGCUUGUUGGUGGGGGAUGGCCUACCAAGGCGACGACGGGUAGCCGGCCUGAGAGGGCGACCGGCCACACUGGGACUGAGACACGGCCCAGACUCCUACGGGAGGCAGCAGUGGGGAAUCUUGCGCAAUGGGCGAAAGCCUGACGCAGCGACGCCGCGUGAGGGAUGACGGCCU
Molecule: ribosomal RNA, 387 nt
Filed under: uncultured bacterium
Lineage: Bacteria
Description: bacterial SSU rRNA
Rfam family: Bacterial small subunit ribosomal RNA
Source: RNAcentral